CUGCUGCUGCAGUGACUUACACCAAUGUGAAGAUGGAGUAAAAGCAGCAGUGAAUUGAGCCCAGGACUACUGUGUGUAUUAAAACUACCAGGCUAAUAAUCUUCUUGUUCAGAACACCAUACAGGGAUUUUGCAGCUCACAACCAAUACACAUAUCCCAACUGAAAUGAGAGAAAAGCUAUGGUAUUAUCUUCAUAUGCUGGAAUACUAAUGGUAAGAGACCAAGAAAGAUGGCAGGAGCAUUUAUCCUAUGGCAGACAAAAUAGAAACACUCCCUGUACCUAGAAUGUCUUUGUUCAUUCACACAUUCAUUCACACAGUAUACAGACAUUACAAAUAUUACAAAGACAUCUAAUUUUUAUCAAGAAGCCAUAAAGUUUUGCUCAGCCUAAGAAAACAACAUAGGCAGUUUCAGUAGGUGUUCCUGUGCUAGUGUACAUGUUAUUUAAUUUGUCUCAGCCAAAUGCAAAAUGGCAAGCAAGUUUAAGGACCAGAUCAAUUGAUUCAUACUAGCAGUAUGAAACAUUAUAAGGAGCUCAUGUGAGAGCUGUUUCAGAAAAGGGGAUAUGAGCUUGAUUUCAUCCAUUGACUUGAAAGAAUACUACUUCUGAGAGCCAAACCUCUCUUCUAACCUGUCUUCACAGAACAGCAUUCCUAUAGAAGAGAUCUUUGAGAUUUACAGCAUGAGACCCUCAGCAACUCACUGGCAGAGCUCUGCAAAAGGAGCUACAGAAGCAAAACAAGGAAUCCCUCCAAGGAAGCCUGGAACAAACUCAAAAGUGUUUGAGCAAAUGAAGCAAAUGAAGUAAAGACACAACAAAGACCUAGACUUCAUGUACUUCACUUAGUUGUAGGUGAGCUAACCAAUGUCUUCUACCAUAGCUUUAUAAUACAUUUACAACUUGUAUUUUAGUUGGGUUUUUUGGUUUUUUUUUUGUUUUGUUUUAAAUCUUCACAGCCAUUCCUUCCUUUCCACCUUCAUAUCUUGCACCUCAGACAUCCAUU
Lonchura striata (white-rumped munia) is the source of this 1004-nucleotide long non-coding RNA. The record is from Ensembl. NCBI's taxonomy places the organism in Eukaryota, Metazoa, Chordata, Aves, Passeriformes, Estrildidae.